RNAcentral lists this ribosomal RNA (238 nucleotides) under uncultured bacterium. RNAcentral describes it as "partial 16S ribosomal RNA". It matches the Rfam family "Bacterial small subunit ribosomal RNA", at positions 15 to 244 of the family's 1533-position model. The record is from RNAcentral.
GAUCCUGGCUCAGGAUGAACGCUAGCUACAGGUUUAACACAUGCAAGUCGAGGGGCAGCAUGGUCUUAGCUUGCUAAGGCCGAUGGCGACCGGCGCACGGGUGAGUAACGCGUAUCCAACCUGCCUUACACUCUUGGACAGCCUUCUGAAAGGGAGAUUAAUACAAGAUGUUAUCAUGAGUAAGCAUUUUCGCAUGAUUAAAGGUUUACCGGCGUAAGAUGGGGAUGCGUUCCAUUAG